Molecule: non-coding RNA, 80 nt
Filed under: Flavimaricola marinus
Lineage: Bacteria; Pseudomonadati; Pseudomonadota; Alphaproteobacteria; Rhodobacterales; Paracoccaceae
Description: Loktanella marina Singlet oxygen resistance RNA X
Rfam family: Singlet oxygen resistance RNA X
About the family: SorX (RSs2461)like SorY is a singlet oxygen induced sRNA that counteracts oxidative stress by targeting mRNA for a transporter in Rhodobacter. It also has an impact on resistance against organic hydroperoxides.
Source: Rfam by way of RNAcentral
AGCCCUCGGUGGCGGGGUCAAGCCACUACCUCCCUGUUGGACUUGCCCGGGGCAUCCCCUAGAUGCACCCGGGCCUUUUU